This 490-nucleotide long non-coding RNA is filed under the name Mus musculus (house mouse). RNAcentral describes it as "Hand2, opposite strand 1". Lineage: Eukaryota; Metazoa; Chordata; Mammalia; Rodentia; Muridae. The record is from RNAcentral.
AAUGCAAGUGUUUAACAGAUGCUUCGCUAUUAAAAUAUUUCCCCCCAAUACUGAAGAAUCUUAAACCAGGCUAGAGCGCCAGCGCUCCUCUGACCCGGCACACUUUGGCAAAGUUGCAGUGGCCUGUUUGCUUAGGCACUGAAGUGGAUGACCCAAGUUAGGAUGACAACUUGCAGAGAACGCGGAUGAGACCUUCAGUUUGUGCCCACACUCAUUUGCAGCAACCCUAACAGAGAUUGCGAAGAUUUUCAAAGUGGGGCACCUCGAUUUCUCGAAUCUGUGGUGUGGCGAAUAUCCGUGUUCCUCCUGCUUAACUAGCCUGUUUGCGGGCAUCUGUGGAAAGCAGGUUUAGUUAUCGGAGGGGAGCCAUUAAACGGACGUUUAAGAGACAGGCAGGGAGGAAGGCUCGUGGAUGUUUAGACUGCUUGCCUUGGCGAUCUUGAACGCAUUAGAACGGAAAAUGGAUCUCCACUUAAGGCACAGUUCAUUC